AUUGAACGCUAGCGGGAUGCCUUACACAUGCAAGUCGAACGGCAGCACGGACUUCGGUCUGGUGGCGAGUGGCGAACGGGUGAGUAAUGUAUCGGAACGUGCCCAGUAGCGGGGGAUAACUACGCGAAAGCGUAGCUAAUACCGCAUACGCCCUCAGGGGGAAAGCAGGGGAUCGCAAGACCUUGGACUAUUUGAACGGCCGAUAUCGGAUUAGCUAGUUGGUGAGGUAAUGGCUCACCAAGGCCGCGAUCCGUAGCUGGUUUGAGAGGACGACCAGCCACACUGGGACUGAGACACGGCCCAGACUCCUACGGGAGGCAGCAGUGGGGAAUUUUGGACAAUGGGGGAACCCUGAUCCAGCCAUCCCGCGUGUGCGAUGAAGGCCUUCGGGUUGUAAAGCACUUUUGGCAGGAAAGAAACGGCGCGUGCUAAUACCAUGCGCAACUGACGGUACCUGCAGAAUAAGCACCGGCUAACUACGUGCCAGCCGCCGCCGUAA
This 499-nucleotide ribosomal RNA is filed under the name uncultured bacterium. Its description in RNAcentral is "partial 16S ribosomal RNA". It matches the Rfam family "Bacterial small subunit ribosomal RNA", at positions 30 to 523 of the family's 1533-position model. The record is from RNAcentral.